RNAcentral lists this ribosomal RNA (472 nucleotides) under uncultured bacterium. RNAcentral's name for it is "SSU rRNA". It matches the Rfam family "Bacterial small subunit ribosomal RNA", at positions 26 to 518 of the family's 1533-position model. The record is from RNAcentral.
AGGAUAAACGCUGGCGGCGUGCAUGAGACAUGCAAGUCGAACGGACGAUCAGGGCUUGCUCUGAUCGUUAGUGGCGGACGGCUGAGUAACGCGUAGGUGACCUGCCCCGAAGUGGGGAAUAACUGCCCGAAAGGGUGGCUAAUACCGCAUGUGGUGGUGUGUUCGAUCACACCAGUAAAGCCGCAAGGCGCUUCGGGAGGGGCCUGCGUCCGAUUAGCUCGUUGGUGGGGUAACGGCUCACCAAGGCGACGAUCGGUAGGUGGUCUGAGAGGACGAUCACCCAGACUGGGACUGAGACACGGCCCAGACUCCUACGGGAGGCAGCAGUCGGGAAUUUUGCGCAAUGGACGAAAGUCUGACGCAGCAACGCCGCGUGAGGGAUGAAGGCCUUCGGGUUGUAAACCUCUUUAUCAGGGAAGAUAAUGACGGUACCUGAUGAAUAAGUCACGGCUAACUACGUGCCAGCAGCCGC